This 253-nucleotide ribosomal RNA is filed under the name uncultured bacterium. RNAcentral describes it as "partial 16S ribosomal RNA". It matches the Rfam family "Bacterial small subunit ribosomal RNA", at positions 524 to 776 of the family's 1533-position model. The record is from RNAcentral.
UACGAAGGGGGCUAGCGUUGUUCGGAAUUACUGGGCGUAAAGGGCGCGCAGGCGGCUUGGCAAGUCGAGUGUGAAAUCCCUUGGCUUAACUAAGGAAUGGCGCUCGAAACUACCUCGCUAGAGGACGGGAGAGGGAAGUGGAACUCUCGGUGUAGGGGUGAAAUCUGUAGAUAUCGAGAGGAACACCGGUGGCGAAGGCGGCUUCCUGGCCCGUAGCUGACGCUGAGGCGCGAAAGCGUGGGGAGCAAACAGG